Molecule: ribosomal RNA, 429 nt
Filed under: Actinomycetes bacterium
Lineage: Bacteria; Bacillati; Actinomycetota; Actinomycetes
Description: Actinobacteria bacterium partial 16S ribosomal RNA
Rfam family: Bacterial small subunit ribosomal RNA
Source: RNAcentral
UAGGGAAUCUUCCGCAAUGGGCGAAAGCCUGACGGAGCAACGCCGCGGGAGUGAUGAAGGUCUUCGGAUCGUAAAACUCUGUUAUUAGGGAAGAACAAAUGUGUAAGUAACUAUGCACGUCUUGACGGUACCUAAUCAGAAAGCCACGGCUAACUACGUGCCAGCAGCCGCGGUAAUACGUAGGUGGCAAGCGUUAUCCGGAAUUAUUGGGCGUAAAGCGCGCGUAGGCGGUUUUUUAAGUCUGAUGUGAAAGCCCACGGCUCAACCGUGGAGGGUCAUUGGAAACUGGAAAACUUGAGUGCAGAAGAGGAAAGUGGAAUUCCAUGUGUAGCGGUGAAAUGCGCAGAGAUAUGGAGGAACACCAGUGGCGAAGGCGACUUUCUGGUCUGUAACUGACGCUGAUGUGCGAAAGCGUGGAGAUCAAACAGG